Molecule: long non-coding RNA, 769 nt
Organism: Oreochromis aureus
Lineage: Eukaryota; Metazoa; Chordata; Actinopteri; Cichliformes; Cichlidae
Source: Ensembl
GAGUAGACUUGUUAGCUGUCUAUAAAGUCAGUGCUGUCACCAUCAUCAACAGACAAGACUGUUGCUCUGAAAGGAUUCUUGGGGCAGAGAUUCGGAUCGGGGACUCACUGGAUCAAAGUGGAAAUCAAAACCCGAGCACCAGAAGCUGUUACUCCUUCACCAACUCCUCCAACACCUCCUCCCACACCUCCCACUGUGAGUGUGCAGCUUGGUGGCAGGAACGUGACGGUGGUGGGAGAGAGGCUCUGCUGGUCUGAUGCUCUGAUGUACUGUAGACGUUAUUACUGGGACCUGCUCAGCCUUCACAGCCAACAGGAGCAAAGCGAGUUGGAGCAGCUGCUGGGCCUCAUUCCUUUCUCCCUCACAGACCACGUCUGGAUGGGACUGCGCAGAUCCUUGAGUGGAGACGACUGGUUCUGGAUGUCCGGACACUCCAUGAAUUUCUUCAACUGGCCACAAGAUUUUGUCCCUUACUAUUACUCCAGCAUGUGUGGAGCUAUGAGCAAUGGAGAGCACUUCCUGUGGCAGGACCUGCACUGUGGGGAACACCUCAACUUCAUCUGCCAAUCAGGUGCUGGGGACAAUGUGCAAAGAGUGGACUUCUACAGCACCAAGAAUGUCACAACUGUAAAGUAAAGGCCAACAAUAUACUGCAUAUCGGAAUACUUCUAAGUUACUAAUAGUUUUCAUAUACAUAUACAUACAUAUAUAUAACUGACAGUUAGGUUGCUCACCAAAUGGAGCGUCAUAGUCUACAACUGAAUGCCAG